AUAAUGCAUUUUGAUAAUGUAUUUUGCACUUAAUAGGCUACCGUAUAAUAUAAGCAUGACUUUUAUAUGACUGGAAAACCCCAGAAAUUCAUCUGACUCACUUUAUUGCAUGGAUCUGGAACUGAAUCCACAGUACCACUGAGAUGCCAGAAGCUGAGUACCUUUCCUCCACCAUGUUUCUGCCUUACCACACUCCUAAAAGCAACAGAACCAAGUGACCAUGGACUGAAACCUCUGAAACGAUGAGCUGAAACAAACCUCUACUCCGUUGUUUUUCUCAGCCAUGAAGUGGAAGGUUUGUUCUUUUGCAUGCUGCCACCACGAUGAACUGCCUCACCAUGGUCCUGUCCGAAAGCAGCAGGACCAACUGACCAUGAACUGAAACCUCUGAAAAUUACUGGGAAUUGAACCCAGGGCCUUGUACAUGCUGAGCAAGUACUGUGAAACAGCUACAUUCCUAGCACAUGCUUUUCAUUUAGAGACAAGAUUUCACUAACUUACCUAGACUGGCCCCAAACUUGCCAUUCUGCUGCCUGAGCCUCCUGCGUAGCCAGAAUUACAGGGGUGUGCCACUACACCUGGUGGGAACGAGGCUAAUAGAUGUGCAAAGACUGAAAACUCCAAGCAGGAACACUGAAGUAAAACUGAGGAAAGAACCGCAGGGAGGCGCUACCAGUUCUAGGGCUGGGGGACAGAGAGAAGCGCGAAGGUGAUGGAACCUGGAACUCAAAGGAAGUGUCCUACAGAGCGGUGACUUGGUCUCAGACUUCGAAGAGGGGGCAACGGGGCCAGUUCUGCGAGUUCCAAAAGCAGUCGGAGACUGGAACCAACUGAUGCUGCUGGAGCCUAAGACCCCAAGGCUCACGGUCUGAGGCAGUUUUGUCUCAUGGAGUCCCCCAGAAGAGGGGACUGGCGGACUGGGGCUGAGCUGUCAUGGGUGGACAGUCACAGACCGUGGGAACGUGGUACUGCGGAGCUGGGUGACGUGAGAUGACAGAAUGGACGGAGAAUGUUCCACUGGGCAGAGGAACAGGUUUGUAGAGGCAGUGAAUAUGGCGGUAGGCUGGGUGGGAUGCUAUAGGGUCCCUGCCCUGUGUCACUCACACUGUUCAGCUGAGUCUCGGAGCAUCAGAAAAUGUUGAAGUGUUCAAAAUUCUUAGGACAGAGGAGAAGGGAUGGAGCUGACCCACAGGGGAACCAAGAAAACCUUGACUCUAAAGCAGAAGGAGAAGCAGGGCUAUGUCAUGGGUGGACAUAGUGGGAAGGUUUUGAGCUCAUCCAGAUCCUGAAAUUUGUGUUCAGAUCAAAAUGUCACCAAGAUUUUGAGAGGAAUACAAAGGCCCAAGUAAUGACUAGCCUGUGGAUGUUUCUCUCGUAGCCUGGAAAUUAGCCUACUGCCUGGAUCACUUGGACCCAGUAGGAAAAAGAUGACACACUUGAAUUAGCAAGUCUAUCCAUUGCAUUUUUGUCUCUCCUACCCUCCCCUGCUUCCUUGGGCUUUGCACCAUGAGUUCGAGCAGCACAAGCCACCCCUCCAAAGGCAGUCAGCAGAUCCUGGCCUUCCCCACCUGCAGAAUUCUGAGCCAAAAUAAACAUCUUUCCUUUAUAAAUUAUCCAGUCUCAAGUAGCCUAUUGCAGCAACAGAAAAUAGACUAAGACAGUAGCAGAGUUAGAUUUCAAAUCCAGGCUGGACAUACUGGGAAGGGAAGGAUUUGCAUUAAUGCAUAAAACCCUGUUUUGUACCUGUAAUGAGAUAAAAUAUAUGUAUUUUAUUUAAGUAGCUUUUGGAUUAACUGAGAAUCCUUUCCUAAAUGAUUCAUAAUUAGACAACCUCACCCUGGAUCCAUCGUCGCACCACCCCUCCUGUUAGGAAAGGAGAGGUGUGCUCUUCUGUUGGAGCUCCCAUCUGAGCCCUGGAAUCCCACCUCAGGAUGUCCUGCCACCUACCAGCUCCAGGUUCCUUUGCCUUCCUUUUUCCUCCCUACUGAUGGUGUCUAACUUAAUAAAAUAAGAUGGAUCUCCCAUCCUA
Molecule: long non-coding RNA, 2029 nt
Organism: Fukomys damarensis (Damara mole-rat)
Lineage: Eukaryota; Metazoa; Chordata; Mammalia; Rodentia; Bathyergidae
Exons: 5
Source: RefSeq, a predicted model, not a curated record